GGGGACGUUUAGGAUUCGACAGGUGUAGUUUGAGCUAAGAUUGCGCUUCGUAGGUUACGACUACGUUAAAACGUUAACAGUUAAUAUAACUGCAAAAAACAAUAACAACUCUUACGCUUUAGCUGCCUAAACAGUAGCUGCGUAGAUCCGCCUAGUAUCGCCCAUGUGCUGGAUACGGGUCUCAAAUUAAGUGGGCUACGGUAAAGACUUCCACCUGGAGUUUUUGCAAGAGAUCAUCAGGUUAGCCUAAUGCUGGUUGCCGUGUUGUCUGGCGUUUGUGUUAGGUGAAUUUCGAAAUAGGAUGACUAUGAGCGUAGAUAUCUUAGAGGCAAUAUGCUUGGACGCGGGUUCGACUCCCGCCGCCUCCAUAA
This is a non-coding RNA of 371 nucleotides. It matches the Rfam family "transfer-messenger RNA". Rfam says of the family: Bacterial tmRNA, also known as 10Sa RNA or SsrA, is named for its dual tRNA and mRNA-like properties. Its role is to liberate the mRNA from a stalled ribosome. The record is from Rfam.